GUUCACAACAUCACUUAUCGCGAGAUCUCGUCAUUCUCCUGAAGGCUGUUGAAGACAGAAGAAGGUCGUCAGCCAUUCUAGUCAGUUUCUCCUCAAAGUUUGGACAUUUUACUAGAAUACAACUUUGAUUCAGCGCAGAAUUCAGUAAUCCUGUGGAUGGACCGCAGCGAGUCCUUUUGCAGUUAUCCAUCAAAAUGCUUUGCAGACAUAAUGGAAAUGGCAUUUACAUUGUAGAGCUUGGACAAAGUUCACACAGGCUCUGUGCAGGAAUUCAUCAAGGACAUGACUGCUGGGACUACGCUUGUGGAUGACCAAUCUGAGCACCAUCAGUCUGCAGUGAUGUGGUCCAGGUAAUAGAAGAAGAAAUCUGGGUGAUCUGGGGUUGUAAC
Molecule: long non-coding RNA, 389 nt
Organism: Carassius auratus (goldfish)
Lineage: Eukaryota; Metazoa; Chordata; Actinopteri; Cypriniformes; Cyprinidae
Exons: 3
Source: RefSeq, a predicted model, not a curated record